CUACGGGAGGCUGCAGUGAGGAAUUUUGCGCAAUGGGGGCAACCCUGACGCAGCAACGCCGCGUGAGUGAAGAAGGCCCUUGGGUCGUAAAGCUCUGUCAAUGGGGAAGAAGUUAUUAUGUGUUAAUAGCACAUUUUAUUGACGGUACCCAUGAAGGAAGCACCGGCUAGCUCCGUGCCAGCAGCCGCGGUAAUACGGGGGGUGCAAGCGUUAUUCGGAAUUAUUGGGCGUAAAGGGCACGCAGGCGGUCCUGUCAGUCAGAUGUGAAAGCCCAGGGCUCAACCCUGGACGUGCAUUUGAAACAGCAGGACUUGAGUACGGGAGAGGAAAGGGGAAUUCCUGGUGUAGAGGUGAAAUUCGUAGAUAUCAGGAGGAACGCCGGUGGCGAAGGCGCCUUUCUGGACCGAUACUGACGCUGAGGUGCGAAGGCGUGGGUAGCGAACGGGAUUAGAUACCCGCGUAGUC
RNAcentral lists this ribosomal RNA (465 nucleotides) under uncultured bacterium. RNAcentral describes it as "partial 16S ribosomal RNA". It matches the Rfam family "Bacterial small subunit ribosomal RNA", at positions 339 to 795 of the family's 1533-position model. The record is from RNAcentral.